CCCAGACUCCUACGGGAGGCAGCAGUGGGGAAUAUUGCACAAUGGGGGAAACCCUGAUGCAGCGACGCCGCGUGAGCGAAGAAGUAUUUCGGUAUGUAAAGCUCUCUCAGCAGGGAAGAAAAAAAUGACGGUACCUGAGUAAGAAGCCCCGGCUAACUACGUGCCAGCAGCCGCGGUAAUACGUAGGGGGCGAGCGUUGUCCGGAAUUACUGGGUGUAAAGGGAGCGCAGGCGGACUGUCAAGUUGGGAGUGAAAACUACGGGCUCAACCCGUAACUUGCUUUCAAAACUGGCGGUCUUGAGUGGUGUAGAGGUAGGCGGAAUUCCCGGUGUAGCGGUGGAAUGCGUAGAUAUCUGGAGGAACAUCAGUGGCGAAGGCGACUAUCUGGCACAUAACUGACGCUGAGGAGCGAAAGCGUGGGUAGCAAACAGGAUUAGAUACCCGCGUAC
Molecule: ribosomal RNA, 449 nt
Filed under: uncultured bacterium
Lineage: Bacteria
Description: bacterial SSU rRNA
Rfam family: Bacterial small subunit ribosomal RNA
Source: RNAcentral